RNAcentral lists this long non-coding RNA (3671 nucleotides) under Monomorium pharaonis (pharaoh ant). RNAcentral's name for it is "uncharacterized LOC114254819". Lineage: Eukaryota; Metazoa; Arthropoda; Insecta; Hymenoptera; Formicidae. The record is from RNAcentral.
CUAUGUUUUUUUAAUUCAAUCUUCCUUUUCUGAGGAACCAGAGACUUUUUUAAUGCAUACCGUCGAUGCAACCGAGCUUGAGCAAGAUUGAAACAGUUGAAGCUUGAAAACGUCCCCGUCGUGCCCUGCUCGUCGGUUCUGCGAUCGCGUCACGACGUAGAUUGGUUGUCGCCCGAUGGUGGGGCCCCGUGGGAACCUGUAUGCCCACAGUGGGGGGUUCCGGAUGACAGAACGGAUCGCAGAUGGCGUUGGAACGUUUCUCGCCGAGAAAGAUGCGAGUCGCUCCUGAUCGGGGGAGACUGAUCCUCGACGUUCCACCACCGCUACGGGAUGCCGUAACUAUCCUCGCCUUUUCUCGUCCUCUUCUCGUCUUUUUUUCUCAGACAAAAAUAGCCAUCGGGUCAGACCGCUGAAUACGCCUUCAAGUUGCCAUUUAAACUUUUCACCGUUAAAUUUCCAUCACUUCUUUUAACUGCGAAUCACGCUAAUCUUCACGUCAACUUUUGUUAUCUAUAUAUUGUUAUCUAUGCAAGAAUUUUACAAGUUGAUUCUCUCGACAUUUUUUUUUUCACUUUGAGAUUGAAGGGUUACGAAAGCGAAGAAAUAAUGAGCGAAAAAGUCUUGAGAGGGUCGAGAAGUUAUCGGGUUGGUACAAUUGAUAACCUUUAAAUGUAAUCAAUUAUCAGAGGGUAUGCCGAUUAGAUAAAUCGCUUGUGAGAAUCAUGAAUAGAAAGAUAAUAGACGUAAUAGAAAGCGAGAUAGGACAGAAACGAUUCCAGAUCUCGAGGAUAUAAACGAGAUUCUCGAUUUCUGUAACAGUCUCUCUUUACCAAGGUCUCAUAGAACUUUUUCUUCUUUUUGAAAUUUUAUCUUGAAAUCAAAAUUUACACGGGACCAGAUUUGGUUUUUAAAAAAAUAACAUCGUAAACACACGUAUGAAGUCUAAAAUUAACUAUCCUGAAACUAAAAAGGUUUAAACGUACAGAAAACCGGCAAGUAUAAUGGAUCAAACGUGAACUGUUCCGCGAGAAACGUGAGGAACGAUCGUGCAUUUUCUAAAUUAAAGUAAUCAGACAAUACUAGCGCGUGCUUGAGUGAAAAGUUACCGACGCACGAGACAGGAUUUAAUUUACGCGUCCAAAUUAAUCUCGUUGUCUCGCGGUGAAUUUACGCGAUCACGCGGAACAACCGUCAACCAGAUCGAACGUCGGAUCGGUUGGCAUCAUUCUCACGAAGGGCGUAAACAACUCCGUCAAGGAAGGACUAAGCCAACAAGAUUGGAAAAAUCGAGUAAGACCUGAAAACCGGAGCGAGAGAUUAGAGCAAACUGUCGUCUACGCCGAGUAGAAAAUAGACCUGUAGCCGCUCAUCUAGAUGUUCUAAAAACUGGAAGUGGCCGGUAAACAUUGGCGGCUGAAUUACAUCCAGUAAUUCGGGAGGGAAAGGAGACGGAAUUGAGUAACGCGUGGUGUAAAAGUCUAGAUGGGGAGACAGCAUCCUUCACGGAGCCGUAAAAUGAAUUUUAUAAUCAGCAGAUUAAUAUUCAUAGCGUAAUUAACUUUGAACGGAAUAUAAAAACAUAAGGGAAGCUGUCCCACAAAUACCAAAACCAGUAAUUUUGCUCCUAAUUUUGGUCCCUUUCCUCUUCUCGGACACCUGAGCGCUUUUAUUAGAAAAUAUGUAUGUUAUUUCUAUUGCGAGAUACACACACACACACACACACCUCGAGAAUAUACGACUAGUCGAAAAGAUGACGGUCUAACAAUCUCCCUUUUUCCGUUUAAAGGUUAGAUAUUUGUCCGUCGCUUGUAAUGGUGUGAGACCGCUGUCCGUAGUGGAACGGACAGCUGCAUAAAACGGGCUAGACCGGGUCAGGGGGAAAUGAUGUAGCUCUAUAACGUACAUAAGAGGGCGUGAGCACGUGGAAUGAGACGUCGAUUGGGAACUCGUUUCUAUUCGAACGGAAUAAAACUAAGUAAAAACGAGCGUCGAGACGGCAUAAGCCAACCCGCGAAAGAUACGGUAUAGUAUACAAGGAAGUGUACACAGGCAUGAAAAUUACCGCAAAGACGCUGGGUACAAAAGCCCAUUAUGUUCCGACGCAAAAGAGAAACAGAACUUCUCUGUUCUCCUGAUCGCGUCGCAUUUUUCCUUAAAUAUAUCUUUACAGACAUUCAAAUUUUAAUAUCUUUUUCAUAAUUCAAGUAAUUUCUUCGGGGGUACUUUAUCUCCAUUAUAAAUAUUAUGCAUCAAUUUCAACGUGCGAUUUAUUUAUAAUCAAAUGAGCAUUGUAGACACAUGAUUGUCAAGAGUUUAAUUUUGAUCACUGUAAGUAGAUCUUACUUUCUAUGAGCGUUUGUAAAUUGACGGGAACAAAAUUUAUAUUUUAAGCAAUAUAUUCGGCACCAAAUCCAGUGUUUCAGUGUCGCAUGUUCCAAUUUAAGUAUUAAUGACAAGCGUGCAUUGGUUCUAAUCUGGAAGCGUGAAACGCACGUUGGUUAUGUUUCUUCGAUUGCGUAUGCCUGGCCGGAGCUAAGUUUCCAUAAGUAGGUACAAAAAUGCGCAUACAGAAUGCGUAAAAUAACCAGCGAUAUUAAUAAGCAACACAAUCGUUUUCUACGAUCUAGCAUGACCUCCUUUUUAUCGUCGAUUCGACUCAACCGAGCGGGGAAGUUUUGCAAUUGCGGAUUUAAUUAACCCCCUGCCUUCCCGUUAAUGUUCCCUUUUAAAUCAUCUUGUUAUUCGUUAAAUGUUGCCUGGGCAUGUAUCACGCAUGGAACUUUUCCGAAUAGAUUUCAAUCCGAAUUAUUUUCAAUUAUUAUCAAAAUUUUUUUUAGAUUCUAUUUUCUAGAGAAAAUAGAAUAAUUCCAGUCGAAUACUAUUCUGAACAGUUUCAUGAUACGUGCUCUGGUGGAUUGCCUCUUUGAAAUUUACAAGUAAAUUUGAUCCUGAAAUUUAGUCGGUAGUCAAAUUUGCAUUAAAAAAAAUAAGCAAUGCGCAAAUUCUUCCUCAACGCCAAUGCUAAUUUAUAAGCGCCGUACCGUUAGCUUACGUAAUUAUUGAAGCUGCUGGAAAAAGAGCGUAUCAUCUUCAGCUCAAAAACCUGUAUUUGUAGUAAUUUAGAUAACUUUUUACAAUCUACAGAAUUUCAAUGAAACAUCUAUUUUUAUCUGUAAGCAUGUAUGUAUAAGAUCAGAGGUGAAAUCCCUUGUAGAGACGAAAAAAAUGAAGUAUCAAAUGUUUUAUCGAUAAUGCGUGUUUGUUUAAACAUACAAGUAAUUCUGUAUGUAUCUUACUCCCUUAAUAAAUGUCGGAUAACGCGCCUCUUACUUAAAAUUAAGAGCAGUCUCGAGAGAAAAACAAACGCGAGUUAAUUGCACCGAUGUUUGCGGUGAACGUCAAAUAUCUAUUAAAAUUAAUGUAUCAAAUUAUAAAAUAAUCAUAUACUUGUAAACAAAUAUAAAUAUGUGUUCUCAACACAAAUGAUUACACGAAUCACGAACUAAUUUUAUUCUUCAUUGUUACAUUUUAUUCUGCCUCGAAUUAAUGAUCGUCUUAUUAGCAUUGUAUUGUAACGAGGUCUUUGCAUUAAUUGCGUAUUAAAUAUCAGUACCAAUUAAUUCCUCUGUAAUUAUUAAUGAGAAGAAUAAAACGAUUAUCGUUUCGUCCAA